CUUCCUUUUGCUCCUCAGCUGGCUGCUUCCUGGUUGCUGCUCCUGCUGUGGCUCGGCGUCUUGGUUUGGACUCGGAACCCCAUUGACGACAGGCGGUGGUGACUCGUACUGUGCCCUGCUGUAACUUGCAACUCCUCGGUUAGGGUUUUUUUUGUGGACUGGAAAUACUCCACGACAUUGGAUUGGAUGGCGAGCUACCCAACAACCCACACAUCAAUGUGGUAGGACUCACAGAACCCAUUUUGGUUUGUGGAUUGAGUCUGGAUUCCUGGCUUAUCUGUUUCCCUCACGUGGAAAAAAAAAAAGACCCUCAACCUCAAGACAUCUUGUUUGUUGUGUUUGUCGUUACUAAAUAUACCUGAUUAUUUAUAGCAAAUAUUAACAUAAUGAAUACAUAUAUAUAAAUAUAUAACACGGGUUGUGUGUAUUUUUUGUUCUGAAUUAUUCUAUGUAUCUAUAAAUAUACGCAUUGCUUGGA
Melanotaenia boesemani (Boeseman's rainbowfish) is the source of this 478-nucleotide long non-coding RNA. RefSeq lists it as uncharacterized. The transcript has 2 exons. The record is from RefSeq and is a predicted model, not a curated record. Lineage: Eukaryota; Metazoa; Chordata; Actinopteri; Atheriniformes; Melanotaeniidae.